RNAcentral lists this ribosomal RNA (833 nucleotides) under uncultured beta proteobacterium. RNAcentral describes it as "bacterial SSU rRNA". It matches the Rfam family "Bacterial small subunit ribosomal RNA", at positions 520 to 1358 of the family's 1533-position model. Lineage: Bacteria; Pseudomonadati; Pseudomonadota; Betaproteobacteria. The record is from RNAcentral.
GUAAUACGUAGGGUGCAAGCGUUAAUCGGAAUUACUGGGCGUAAAGCGUGCGCAGGCGGUUAUGUAAGUCAGAUGUGAAAUCCCCGGGCUCAACCUGGGAAUGGCAUUUGAGACUGCAUGGCUAGAGUGUGUCAGAGGGGGGUAGAAUUCCACGUGUAGCAGUGAAAUGCGUAGAGAUGUGGAGGAAUACCGAUGGCGAAGGCAGCCCCCUGGGAUAACACUGACGCUCAUGCACGAAAGCGUGGGGNGCANACAGGAUUAGAUACCCUGGUAGUCCACGCCCUAAACGAUGUCUACUAGUUGUCGGGACUUAAUUGUCUUGGUAACGCAGCUAACGCGUGAAGUAGACCGCCUGGGGAGUACGGUCGCAAGAUUAAAACUCAAAGGAAUUGACGGGGACCCGCACAAGCGGUGGAUGAUGUGGAUUAAUUCGAUGCAACGCGAAAAACCUUACCUACCCUUGACAUGUACGGAACCUCUGAGAGAUUAGAGGGUGCUCGAAAGAGAGCCGUAACACAGGUGCUGCAUGNCUGUCGUCAGCUCGUGUCGUGAGAUGUUGGGUUAAGUCCCNCAACGAGCGCAACCCUUGUCAUUAGUUGCUACGAAAGGGCACUCUAAUGAGACUNCCGGUGACAAACCGGAGGAAGGUGGGGAUGACGUCAAGUCCUCAUGGCCCUUAUGGGUAGGGCUUCACACGUCAUACAAUGGUACAUACAGAGGGCCNCCAACCCGCGAGGGGGAGCUAAUCCCAGAAAGUGUAUCGUAGUCCGGAUUGUAGUCUGCAACUCGACUACAUGAAGUUGGAAUCGCUAGUAAUCGCGGAUCAGCAUGUC